RNAcentral lists this ribosomal RNA (492 nucleotides) under uncultured bacterium. Its description in RNAcentral is "bacterial SSU rRNA". It matches the Rfam family "Bacterial small subunit ribosomal RNA", at positions 791 to 1281 of the family's 1533-position model. The record is from RNAcentral.
UAGUCCACGCCGUAAACGAUGAUAACUAGCUGUUCGGGCCCACAGGGCUUGAGUGGCGCAGCUAACGCAUUAAGUUAUCCGCCUGGGGAGUACGGUCGCAAGAUUAAAACUCAAAGGAAUUGACGGGGGCCUGCACAAGCGGUGGAGCAUGUGGUUUAAUUCGACGCAACGCGCAGAACCUUACCAGGUCUUGACAUACCUAUUGUACGACGUAGAGAUACGUUGGUCAGUUCGGCUGGAUAGGAUACAGGUGCUGCAUGGCUGUCGUCAGCUCGUGUCGUGAGAUGUUGGGUUAAGUCCCGCAACGAGCGCAACCCUCGCCGUUAGUUGCCAGCACUUCGGGUGGGAACUCUAACGGGACUGCCUGUGAAAGCAGGAGGAAGGCGAGGAUGACGUCUAGUCAGCAUGGUCCUUACGAUCUGGGCUACACACGUGCCACAAUGGCAGGUACAGAGCGCAGCCACUUCGCGAGAAGGCGCUAAUCGCUUAAAG